GAGGGUACAGCUCAGUGGUAGAGCACAUGCUUAGCAUGCACAAGGUCUUGGGUUCAAUCCUCAGUACCUCCU
RNAcentral lists this transfer RNA (72 nucleotides) under Camelus bactrianus (Bactrian camel). It matches the Rfam family "tRNA". From Rfam's summary of the family: Transfer RNA (tRNA) molecules are approximately 80 nucleotides in length. Their secondary structure includes four short double-helical elements and three loops (D, anti-codon, and T loops). RNAcentral also lists the same sequence under 2 other names. The record is from Rfam by way of RNAcentral. Lineage: Eukaryota; Metazoa; Chordata; Mammalia; Artiodactyla; Camelidae.